RNAcentral lists this ribosomal RNA (839 nucleotides) under Staphylococcus aureus. Its description in RNAcentral is "partial 23S ribosomal RNA". It matches the Rfam family "Bacterial large subunit ribosomal RNA", at positions 296 to 1137 of the family's 2925-position model. The record is from RNAcentral. Lineage: Bacteria; Bacillati; Bacillota; Bacilli; Caryophanales; Staphylococcaceae.
AGGACACUCUAUACGGAGUUACAAAGGACGACAUUAGACGAAUCAUCUGGAAAGAUGAAUCAAAGAAGGUAAUAAUCCUGUAGUCGAAAAUGUUGUCUCUCUUGAGUGGAUCCUGAGUACGACGGAGCACGUGAAAUUCCGUCGGAAUCUGGGAGGACCAUCUCCUAAGGCUAAAUACUCUCUAGUGACCGAUAGUGAACCAGUACCGUGAGGGAAAGGUGAAAAGCACCCCGGAAGGGGAGUGAAAUAGAACCUGAAACCGUGUGCUUACAAGUAGUCAGAGCCCGUUAAUGGGUGAUGGCGUGCCUUUUGUAGAAUGAACCGGCGAGUUACGAUUUGAUGCAAGGUUAAGCAGUAAAUGUGGAGCCGUAGCGAAAGCGAGUCUGAAUAGGGCGUUUAGUAUUUGGUCGUAGACCCGAAACCAGGUGAUCUACCCUUGGUCAGGUUGAAGUUCAGGUAACACUGAAUGGAGGACCGAACCGACUUACGUUGAAAAGUGAGCGGAUGAACUGAGGGUAGCGGAGAAAUUCCAAUCGAACCUGGAGAUAGCUGGUUCUCUCCGAAAUAGCUUUAGGGCUAGCCUCAAGUGAUGAUUAUUGGAGGUAGAGCACUGUUUGGACGAGGGGCCCCUCUCGGGUUACCGAAUUCAGACAAACUCCGAAUGCCAAUUAAUUUAACUUGGGAGUCAGAACAUGGGUGAUAAGGUCCGUGUUCGAAAGGGAAACAGCCCAGACCACCAGCUAAGGUCCCAAAAUAUAUGUUAAGUGGAAAAGGAUGUGGCGUUGCCCAGACAACUAGGAUGUUGGCUUAGAAGCAGCCAUCAUUUAAAGAGUGCGUAA